RNAcentral lists this ribosomal RNA (465 nucleotides) under Vreelandella stevensii. RNAcentral describes it as "partial 16S ribosomal RNA". It matches the Rfam family "Bacterial small subunit ribosomal RNA", at positions 338 to 795 of the family's 1533-position model. The record is from RNAcentral. Lineage: Bacteria; Pseudomonadati; Pseudomonadota; Gammaproteobacteria; Oceanospirillales; Halomonadaceae.
CCUACGGGUGGCUGCAGUGGGGAAUAUUGGACAAUGGGCGAAAGCCUGAUCCAGCCAUGCCGCGUGUGUGAAGAAGGCCUUCGGGUUGUAAAGCACUUUCAGUGGGGAAGAAAGCCUUGGGGCUAAUACCCUCGAGGAAGGACAUCACCCGCAGAAGAAGCACCGGCUAACUCCGUGCCAGCAGCCGCGGUAAUACGGAGGGUGCGAGCGUUAAUCGGAAUUACUGGGCGUAAAGCGCGCGUAGGCGGUCUGAUAAGCCGGUUGUGAAAGCCCCGGGCUCAACCUGGGAACGGCAUCCGGAACUGUCAGGCUAGAGUGCAGGAGAGGAAGGUAGAAUUCCCGGUGUAGCGGUGAAAUGCGUAGAGAUCGGGAGGAAUACCAGUGGCGAAGGCGGCCUUCUGGACUGACACUGACGCUGAGGUGCGAAAGCGUGGGUAGCAAACAGGAUUAGAUACCCGGGUAGUC